AGCCCAGGGGUAUUUUGCUCUAACGUUUCACUCGCGAGAAUUUUUCUCGCGAGUGAAAUGUUUGAGCAAAAUACCCCUGGGUU
Molecule: non-coding RNA, 83 nt
Organism: Nematostella vectensis (starlet sea anemone)
Lineage: Eukaryota; Metazoa; Cnidaria; Anthozoa; Actiniaria; Edwardsiidae
Source: Rfam